This 767-nucleotide ribosomal RNA is filed under the name uncultured bacterium. RNAcentral's name for it is "bacterial SSU rRNA". It matches the Rfam family "Bacterial small subunit ribosomal RNA", at positions 569 to 1334 of the family's 1533-position model. The record is from RNAcentral.
GCGCAGGCGGUUUCUUAAGUCUGAUGUGAAAGCCCCCGGCUCAACCGGGGAGGGUCAUUGGAAACUGGGAGACUUGAGUGCAGAAGAGGAGAGUGGAAUUCCACGUGUAGCGGUGAAAUGCGUAGAUAUGUGGAGGAACACCAGUGGCGAAGGCGACUCUCUGGACUGUAACUGACGCUGAGGCGCGAAAGCGUGGGGAGCAAACAGGAUUAGAUACCCUGGUAGUCCACGCCGUAGACGAUGAGUGCUAGGUGUUAGGGGUUUCGAUGCCCUUAGUGCCGAAGUUAACACAUUAAGCACUCCGCCUGGGGAGUACGACCGCAAGGUUGAAACUCAAAGGAAUUGACGGGGGCCCGCACAAGCAGUGGAGCAUGUGGUUUAAUUCGAAGCAACGCGAAGAACCUUACCAGGUCUUGACAUCCUUUGACCACUCUGGAGACAGAGCUUUCCCCUUCGGGGGACAAAGUGACAGGUGGUGCAUGGUUGUCGUCAGCUCGUGUCGUGAGAUGUUGGGUUAAGUCCCGCAACGAGCGCAACCCUUGACCUUAGUUGCCAGCAUUCAGUUGGGCACUCUAAGGUGACCGCCGGUGACAAACCGGAGGAAGGUGGGGAUGACGUCAAAUCAUCAUGCCCCUUAUGACCUGGGCUACACACGUGCUACAAUGGAUGGUACAAAGGGCAGCAAAGCCGUGAGGUGGAGCCAAUCCCAUAAAGCCAUUCUCAGUUCGGAUUGCAGGCUGCAACUCGCCUGCAUGAAGCCGGAAUUG